GGCUUGGUGUAACUCAGAUGGUAGAGUGCUCGCUUUGCAUGCGAGAAGUACUGGGAUCGAUACCCAGCCGGUCCA
Molecule: transfer RNA, 75 nt
Filed under: Coemansia nantahalensis
Lineage: Eukaryota; Fungi; Kickxellomycota; Kickxellomycetes; Kickxellales; Kickxellaceae
Description: tRNA-Ala
Rfam family: tRNA (bases 9-68)
About the family: Transfer RNA (tRNA) molecules are approximately 80 nucleotides in length. Their secondary structure includes four short double-helical elements and three loops (D, anti-codon, and T loops). Further hydrogen bonds mediate the characteristic L-shaped molecular structure. tRNAs have two regions of fundamental functional importance: the anti-codon, which is responsible for specific mRNA codon recognition, and the 3' end, to which the tRNAs corresponding amino acid is attached (by aminoacyl-tRNA synthetases). tRNAs cope with the degeneracy of the genetic code in two manners: having more than one tRNA (with a specific anti-codon) for a particular amino acid; and 'wobble' base-pairing, i.e. permitting non-standard base-pairing at the 3rd anti-codon position.
Source: RNAcentral